This 305-nucleotide ribosomal RNA is filed under the name uncultured bacterium. Its description in RNAcentral is "partial 16S ribosomal RNA". It matches the Rfam family "Bacterial small subunit ribosomal RNA", at positions 337 to 644 of the family's 1533-position model. The record is from RNAcentral.
UCCUACGGGGGGCAGCAGUGGGGAAUAUUGCACAAUGGGGGAAACCCUGAUGCAGCGACGCCGCGUGAGUGAAGAAGUAUCUCGGUACGUAAAGCUCUAUCAGCAGGGAAGAAAAAAAGUCUUUGGCUUUGGACGGUACCUGACUAAGAAGCCCCGGCUAACUACGUGCCAGCAGCCGCGGUAAUACGUAGGGGGCAAGCGUUAUCCGGAUUUACUGGGUGUAAAGGGAGCGUAGACGGCAGCGCAAGUCUGGAGUGAAAUGCCGGGGCUCAACCCCGGAAAUGCUUUGGAAACUGUGCAGCUAG